UGAGACCAAUAGGAAAUUGCUUGGAAUGAAGAGUGGUCAGCCUUCAGAGAGCCUUCCUAAACACUUUUAAGUGGAUUUAUGUUAUAGAUGAUAUAAUGACAGUCUCUGAGAAUUUUACAGAUUUAGAAAAGAAUUGGAAUGCUGUGCAAACACCACCAAAGGAAUAAAGACACUGUUCAGCUGCAGCUUCCCCUCUGAUUUCUACUGUGUGCUAAGGUAUAUAUAAACUGAAGAGUAACCUGUCCACAUUCUUUAUGAAGCCACAGAACUGUGGUGUGGAAACUUUCUGAGAUAUGGAAAUUUGGUUUGUAUCAGGAAGAAAAACAUAUGUGAUAUACACAGGCUAACUAGGAGAUUCAUUGGUCUUGCAUAAUCCUACCCCUUCAGAAGUUCCAUGCUAAGCGGUAGAAGAGUCCUG
Long non-coding RNA from Mastomys coucha (southern multimammate mouse), 418 nucleotides. RefSeq lists it as uncharacterized. The transcript has 4 exons. NCBI's taxonomy places the organism in Eukaryota, Metazoa, Chordata, Mammalia, Rodentia, Muridae. The record is from RefSeq and is a predicted model, not a curated record.